CAGCCGCCGCGGUAAUACCGGCGGCCCGAGUGGCGGCCACUAUUAUUGGGCUUAAAGCGUCCGUAGCCGGGUUGGUUAGUCUCCCGGGAAAUCUGGCCGCUUAACGGUCAGAAUUCCGGGAGAUACUGCCAGCCUAGGGACCGGGAGAGGCCGAGGGUAUUCCCGGAGUAGGGGUGAAAUCCUAUAAUCCCAGGGGGACCGCCAGUGGCGAAGGCGCCCCGCUGGAACGGGUCCGACGGUGAGGGACGAAGGCCAGGGGAGCAAACCGGAUUAGAUACCCGGGUAGUCCUGGCUGUAAAGGAUGCGGGCUAGGUGUCGGGUGAGCUUCGGGCUCGCCCGGUGCCGGAGGGAAGCCGUUAAGCCCGCCGCCUGGGGAGUACGGCCGCAAGGCUGAAACUUAAAGGAAUUGGCGGG
RNAcentral lists this ribosomal RNA (414 nucleotides) under uncultured microorganism. RNAcentral's name for it is "bacterial SSU rRNA". It matches the Rfam family "Archaeal small subunit ribosomal RNA", at positions 459 to 872 of the family's 1478-position model. The record is from RNAcentral.